AGACCAUGAUGAGGACACUUUCUUAGUAGGUCAUUGAACCUUUCCCAAGUUUCAUAUAAGGAUUCCACAUCUUCUUUUGAGUAU
This 84-nucleotide small nucleolar RNA is filed under the name Helianthus annuus (common sunflower). Its description in RNAcentral is "Plant small nucleolar RNA R71". It matches the Rfam family "Plant small nucleolar RNA R71". Rfam says of the family: R71 is a member of the C/D box family of snoRNAs containing the C (UGAUGA) and D (CUGA) box motifs. Multiple nearly identical copies of this snoRNA have been identified in Arabidopsis, and it is thought to function as a 2'-O-ribose methylation guide for 18S ribosomal RNA. Lineage: Eukaryota; Viridiplantae; Streptophyta; Magnoliopsida; Asterales; Asteraceae. The record is from RNAcentral.